Molecule: ribosomal RNA, 253 nt
Filed under: uncultured Lachnospiraceae bacterium
Lineage: Bacteria; Bacillati; Bacillota; Clostridia; Lachnospirales; Lachnospiraceae
Description: partial 16S ribosomal RNA
Rfam family: Bacterial small subunit ribosomal RNA
Source: RNAcentral
UACGGAGGAUCCGAGCGUUAUCCGGAUUUACUGGGUGUAAAGGGAGCGCAGGCGGUCUGGCAAGUCUGAUGUGAAAUACCGGGGCUCAACUCCGGGACUGCAUUGGAAACUGUCAGACUGGAGUGUCGGAGAGGCAGGCGGAAUUCCUGGUGUAGCGGUGAAAUGCGUAGAUAUCAGGAGGAACACCAGUGGCGAAGGCGGCCUGCUGGACGAUGACUGACGCUGAGGCUCGAAAGCGUGGGGAGCAAACAGG